RNAcentral lists this ribosomal RNA (497 nucleotides) under Microsporidium sp. Its description in RNAcentral is "SSU rRNA". It matches the Rfam family "Microsporidia small subunit ribosomal RNA", at positions 262 to 786 of the family's 1311-position model. The record is from RNAcentral. Lineage: Eukaryota; Fungi; Microsporidia.
AUGGCGCCCACGUCCAUGGACGGCAGCAGGCGCGGAAAUUGCCCACUCUCUUUGGGAGGCAGUUAAGAGACGAAAGUAGGAUAAAAGAAUACUAGAUGAUUGGAGGGCAAGGCUGGUGCCAGCAGCCGCGGUAACACCAGCUCCAAGAGUGUCUGUGGUGGAUGCUGCAGUUAAAAAGUCCGUAGUCUUAUCAGCUGGGAUGGUCUUAGAUUGAAUAGGAAUGACCUGCUGGGAAUGGCGGAGCGGACGGAGUACGUAGAAUGCAUGGGCGAGCGAUGGAAUGCCAGGACCCCAUGUGGACUAGCGGAGGCGAAGGCGACGUACGAGUACGGAUCCGAGGAUCAAGGACGAAGGCCGGAGGAGCGAAAGCGAUUAGAGACCGCAGUAGUUCCGGCAGUAAACUAUGCCGACAUAGGAAUACGAUAAGUAGGACUAAAGCGAAAGCUAGUGUUUGGGCUCUGGGGAUAGUAUGCUUGCAAGAGUGAAAACUAAAGAAA